UAUAGACUAGUGCUGACAUUUAAGACAUCCAGCCAUAAGUAAAGGCUUAUACUGUAGUACAGUGAAAGAAAGUUCGAGGCAGAAAACAAGGAAUUGCCCCCACUAUGGAUCGUAAAAUCACAGAAUCACAGAAUGAUUGAGUUUGGAGGGGAUGUCUGGGUCCAUUUGGUUUAACUCCUUUUCAAGUAGGGACACCUACAGCAGGUUUUCCAGCACAAUGUCCAGGUGAACAAAUCCCAUGUGCCCUUCCCUUCGCCUGUCCCAUUGCAGCAGCAUGACUGGAAGAACUGCUUCACAUUAACAAGCAGCUGGGAAACAUGUAGAUUGAACUCCUGAUCCAAAGCCCACAGUAAAUAAUAAGGUUUUGGUUCAUUAUCACAUACAAGAAAACACAGAUUUAUGUCAUGGCUGUAAAAUGGGGAGAAUAUUUAUCACCCAGCUCUGAUGUGGGAACCCUUGUGCCUAAAUUCAGCCUCUGAGGGAAAGCUGCUAUAGAGCUUCAAAGUCUUAUUUCUAUGAUUUGUCAGCCUGGCAACAAGUCCUUACCAAUUCUCCCAUUGUGAUUAUAUCCAAGGAGCUCAGGAAACUUUCCAGAUGCAGAGCGACAUGUUUUCCUGAGAUAAAGAUCUCUCAGGAAGUCUGAAGCUUGGCUGGAAAUGUAUUCUUCAUCUUCUGAAGCGUAAGUCUGGAAGCCCAGCGCAUCUCUGUCCUAGUUAUCAGGCUGAAUUAGAAUAUGCAGCUAUUUAUAAUGGAAACCUACAUCUUGGCACCAAAAAUAAAGGGGAAUAAUGCCUCCUGAGGAAUAAUAAUAAUAAAGAAGAAACAUACUAGAA
Molecule: long non-coding RNA, 833 nt
Organism: Numida meleagris (helmeted guineafowl)
Lineage: Eukaryota; Metazoa; Chordata; Aves; Galliformes; Numididae
Exons: 3
Source: RefSeq, a predicted model, not a curated record